AGUUUCAGUCUCGAGGUCCCCGGGCUGCUUCUUAUUUAUGAUCAGAUCAAGGGUAUAAGGUGUCAGUGGGGGCAGCCAGCAGUCAUAGGCCAGAGAGGGGCGACUGCCCGUCCCAAGGGCUUGUCACAGGCCCUGUGGACUUAAAAAGAGAAAUAAGACGCCGUCCCUGCCCUCGGGAGCUCCCGGCGCAUCUGCCCCAACAACUCGCUGAAGCCGCCUGCAGGACGCCUGAGUGAGGACAAGGUGUCUCACUCAGAAAAUUUGCUUGAUUCUUCCUGGCAAGUGGGACAGGGUGAGCUUCCCGGAGGAGGGGACCUUCGAGCUGUGUAGCGGGGAAGGUAGGAGAGCGAUGAGAGCGCCCGGAAGGGACAAGCAUUCGGGGAGACUGAAGCGCAUUCAACAACAUAUUUAUUGAGCACCUACUACGUCCAGGCACUGUUACAUCGGUGAUGUAACAAAAGCCGACAAAAACCCUCACCCCGAGCGCAGGCACCGCAGAGGGCGAUGACGACCCGAGAAGAUGCCGAACGCAGGCCAGGAGGGGGCUCUGGGGAAAAGCAAAGGCAGGGG
RNAcentral lists this long non-coding RNA (570 nucleotides) under Homo sapiens (human). Its description in RNAcentral is "HSALNT0391647". Lineage: Eukaryota; Metazoa; Chordata; Mammalia; Primates; Hominidae. The record is from RNAcentral.